AUUUUAUCGGUUUUGGUUGUCAAAGAAGCCAAUGUUAUUGGUUCUGUUAUUGGAAAUAAACCAAGUUGCAUAGAGCUGUCACUUUUCAUUUGCUCGCUUUGGGAUAUGUUGUAAAAAUGGGAAAGCAUAAAAAUAGUACCCAAAAUGCAAUUAUCCUGGAAUUUAUGGAGAAGUAUCCAGACCUAGCAAAGGGGUUCACUAAGUGUGAUAAGCCAAAAGUGGAUGCCCUAUGGCAACAAUUGUCAGAAUCACUAAAUAGUGCAGGUCCAUCACAAAACGAUGUUAACGGAUGGAAGAAGAAAUGGACUGAGUGGAAAAGCGAAGUGAAAAGAAAGAUGGCGCAAAAUAAAGCUGAAUCUAGGGCAACUGGCGGUGGACCGUACGCAAAACAUCAGUUGACAGCUAAUGAAGAGGCUAUAGUGCGUUUAUGUGGCAUUGCGCAGUCAGUAGAAGGUGUGUCCGGCAUUUCACUUGGUCUCACGGAAGAUGUUGAUGUUUCAG
Musca domestica (house fly) is the source of this 501-nucleotide long non-coding RNA. RefSeq lists it as uncharacterized. The transcript has 3 exons. Lineage: Eukaryota; Metazoa; Arthropoda; Insecta; Diptera; Muscidae. The record is from RefSeq and is a predicted model, not a curated record.